RNAcentral lists this ribosomal RNA (235 nucleotides) under uncultured bacterium. RNAcentral describes it as "partial 16S ribosomal RNA". It matches the Rfam family "Bacterial small subunit ribosomal RNA", at positions 97 to 339 of the family's 1533-position model. The record is from RNAcentral.
GGCAAACGGGUUAGUAACACGUAGAUACAUGCCCUGAAGUCUCGCAUAAUCCUGCGAAAGCAGGACUAAUUCGAGAUAGUCCCUGAGAGUAAUCGAAGGGUAAAGAUUUUUCGCUUCAGGAUUGGUCUGCGGCCUAUCAGCUUGUUGGUGAGGUAAUGGCUCACCAAGGCUAUGACGGGUAGGGGACAUGAGAGUGUGAUCCCCAACAAGGGCAUUGAGAUACGGGCCCUACUCC